Molecule: long non-coding RNA, 778 nt
Organism: Orbicella faveolata
Lineage: Eukaryota; Metazoa; Cnidaria; Anthozoa; Scleractinia; Merulinidae
Source: RefSeq, a predicted model, not a curated record
ACGGAGAAAGCGAUAGUGGCGACAAACAAGAAGCUACGGUGCUUCGUUUUCAUGGAACCCUUGCCCUCGGAUUGGUUAGCAUUCGCUGUCACCGCCAACAAGCUUUUCAAACUGUGAUUUUCAUAACUGAAGUUAAACUCAAGAGCUUUUCACCUGAUUUUUGAGAAUUCAAGGUAUCAAAGAUGUCUUCCGUUCCCAUAAGUUCAGCUUUUGUAAGGAGGCAGAUAAAUCCCGUAAAACCAGAGACGAAAACAGAAACCACAAACGAAAACAAGCAAGCUAUUGUGCAACAAAGACAGCCAUUCUUCAAUUCAUUCUUUACAAGCUACAAAGAUUGGAGAGAAGUCGGAAAAGACGUUAGGACUUGAGCACUGGAGGUCCUUCUCAAUGUCAUCAACCUGGGAUUGCACAUCGCACUAAAUCCUUUUUGAGGAUUUCUCAUUGACGACUAAUUACAAUCGAUCACGCCAAGCUGCACGCGCGGUACAUCAGGAAUUGUUGAGAUGUCAGUAGAGGGAGCAUGAAUAAUUUGGUUAUUACCUAACUGCCUCAAACGAUACAUUCAAGUGUUACAGACGUUUGCAUGGCAAAAUAUCUCAAAGAAGCCGUCAAUACCUUGUCUAGACUAAGUAACGUAAAAGCACAAAUACUCCUAAUUGUUCCUGUUCGCAUUGAUUGUAAAUGUUUGAUCGACAGAAGGAAAGUCUUGUGCUACUCUACAAAUGGAAGGUAUAGAUCUAUAUUAUGAGAAUUUUAUCAAUAAAAUUUACGUUUCCUA